GAUUAAUGGACUUUUAAUAUAUAAUAGAUAGAUGUUUAACCAUCUGUCUUAUUUGAAUUUUUUUUAGAUUAAUAUUUUUAUUGUUAUUAGAUGAUAAAACAUGGAUAACAAUACAUAUGUGACUAUUUUUUAAAAAAAAUUAAUAAAAUUUUUAAAUAAAACGUACUGUCAAACGUUGGACAUGGAAAUUCACAACUGUAUUUAAA
Molecule: microRNA precursor, 206 nt
Filed under: Oryza meridionalis
Lineage: Eukaryota; Viridiplantae; Streptophyta; Magnoliopsida; Poales; Poaceae
Description: MIR812 microRNA precursor family
Rfam family: MIR812 microRNA precursor family (bases 27-206)
Source: Rfam by way of RNAcentral